UUUUGUUUAUAGGUUUAUAUUAAGAAAGAGUGCAAGCAAACGAUUUACUAUAUUUACUAUAUUUAACGAUUACUAUUUUUAAGAGUAAUCUCAAAACGGAAUCGUGAAGUUCCACCUCUACAUCGGCUUUUGUUGACAUUGAGGUUCUACUCAUUGGGCACAAUGUUGGUUGCGGUAGCUGACUACAUAGGAGUUACUAAAUCUUAUGCAGGACAUAUAAUAAAAGAUGUAUCACAAGCUACAGAUUAUACGCAAAGUACAUAUACAUCCAAAUAGCCAGAUUUCCUCGUGUAUUAGGUGCUAUUGAAGGCACACAUAUACUAAUGCGAUCACCAACUCAGUGUGAAAGUGGUGUUUACGGCAUUCGAUGGUUAUUCGGCGAUAUUGAAUAUCCAUGAAAAUCCUAUUUUUUAACACCGUUACUGAAUACACAAUGUAAUAGUGAUAUAAACUACAACCGAGCAAACAUUCUAACUAGAAAUACUAUAAAAAGAAGUUUUGGAUCUUGGAAAAGAAGAUUCCCAGUUUUGUCAUGAAAAAUAAGGCUACCUAGGGAAACAAUACACGCUAUAAUUGUUGUUACUUCUAAGAUGCAUAACAUUUGCAGACAAAGAAAUUUACAGGAAGUCUAACCAGAAAUAGAUAUACUCAAUUUUAAUAUAAUUAUUAAAUCUGCAAAUGUUCUUUAAAUCAGAUUCAGGAAUGGCAAUCGUUAAGUAAUAAUUAAUUUAGGUAAAUAAAACAAAUGUUUCAAAACA
Molecule: long non-coding RNA, 758 nt
Organism: Melitaea cinxia (Glanville fritillary)
Lineage: Eukaryota; Metazoa; Arthropoda; Insecta; Lepidoptera; Nymphalidae
Exons: 4
Source: RefSeq, a predicted model, not a curated record